RNAcentral lists this ribosomal RNA (261 nucleotides) under uncultured prokaryote. RNAcentral's name for it is "partial 16S ribosomal RNA". It matches the Rfam family "Bacterial small subunit ribosomal RNA", at positions 524 to 784 of the family's 1533-position model. The record is from RNAcentral.
UACGUAGGUGGCAAGCGUUGUCCGGAUUUACUGGGCGUAAAGGGAGCGUAGGCGGACUUUUAAGUGAGAUGUGAAAUACCCGGGCUCAACUUGGGUGCUGCAUUUCAAACUGGAAGUCUAGAGUGCAGGAGAGGAGAAUGGAAUUCCUAGUGUAGCGGUGAAAUGCAUAGAGAUUAGGAAGAACACCAGUGGCGAAGGCGAUUCUCUGGACUGUAACUGACGCUGAGGCUCGAAAGCGUGGGGAGCAAACAGGAUUAGAUA